Durio zibethinus is the source of this 509-nucleotide non-coding RNA. Lineage: Eukaryota; Viridiplantae; Streptophyta; Magnoliopsida; Malvales; Malvaceae. The record is from RefSeq and is a predicted model, not a curated record.
CAAGAUGCCACAAUUCUCAAUAAUUGUGUUUUAGGGUUAGAGCUUUAUUUUUCUUCUCUCAAUUUCUCUGAUCUCUUCUAAAUUUCACUCGCAAAACCCUAACCCUAAACUGCCAACCAUGUCGUCCAAGCAAGGUGGCAAAGUGAAGCCUUUGAAACAACCCAAAUCUGAAAAGAGAGAAUACGACGAGCAUGAUUUGGCUAACAUUCAGAAAAAGAAGGAAGAAGAGAAGGCACUUAAAGAGCUGAGAUCAAAGGCACAACAGAAGGGGUCAUUUGGUGGUGCUGGUCUUAAGAAGAGUGGUAAGAAAUGAGGGUCUAAAAACCCAGCUAAACGGAAACUAUUGAGCCUUGUGUUGGGAUUACUACUUGUAUUAUGAUCACAUCUUUUGUUUUAGUGUGAUGGUCUAUAAAACCUUGUGUCGAAUGUCCUCAUGUAAAACUUAAGCUCUAUGUUUUUGCUUUUGUCUGUGUGUUCUUCAAUCUCCUAUAGCUUGUGACUUGCUAAUA